Molecule: ribosomal RNA, 484 nt
Filed under: uncultured bacterium
Lineage: Bacteria
Description: partial 16S ribosomal RNA
Rfam family: Bacterial small subunit ribosomal RNA
Source: RNAcentral
AUUGAACGCUGGCGGCAGGCCUAACACAUGCAAGUCGAGCGGAUGAAGGGUGCUUGCUCCUGGAUUCAGCGGCGGACGGGUGAGUAAUGCCCAUGAAUCUGCCUGGCAGUGGGGGAUAACGUCCGGAAACGGGUGCUAAUACUGCAUACGUCCUGAGGGAGCAAGUGGGGGAUCUUCGGACCUCUCGCUAUCAGAUGAGCCUAGGUCGGAUUGGCUAGUUGGUGGGGUAAAGGCCUACUAAGGCGACGAUCCGUAACUGGUCUGAGAGGAUGAUCAGUCACACUGGAACUGAGACGCGGUCCAGAGUCCUGCGGGAGGGAGCAGUGGGGAAUGUUGGACAAUGGGCGAAAGCCUUAUCCAACCGUGCGACGUGUGUGAAGAAGAUCUUCGGAUUGUGAAGCACUUUAAGUGGGGAGGAAGGGCAGUAAGUUAAUACCUUGCGGUUGUGACGGUACCGACAAAAGAAGCACCGGCUAACUUCGUG